UUGCAUAUUGCCCUGAUUAGCCAAUGGGAAGGGUAGCGGUCGUACGCCAAUUACCAUGUUUCUCUUUUAUUAGAUAGGAUUUGACAUCAUGAAUGGAAUGUUACUCGAAAUACGAAUGCUAAAAGUGCUUCUGUAGGGCUGCCUUCAUGUGGCUACAGUGUGCUGGAGCUGGAAGAAGUUCCCUCACCUGCUCUCCCAGCAGGUAGUGUUGGCUGUUGGCUGAGGAGACUUAGUUCUCUUCCUGUGACAUCUCAUCCUGCAAUAGCUAGCUAGAAUGGCCUUAUUACAUGCCCUUUGGGACAGUGCUUCAUGAUGGCCAGGAGGAAGCUGCAAGUCUCUCAAGGACUAGGCCCUGGAUCUCAGUAACAUCAUUUCUACUGCAUUGUGUAGGUCAAAGCAUGUCAAGUGGCCAGCCCAGGUUCAAGGGGAUGGAGAAAUAGACUCCACCGAUAGAAGGUGGUUGCCGCAAAGAGGAAUACAUACUACAGGGAUGGGAGGAAUUUGUCACCAUUAAGCAGUCUUUCACUUGGGGUCUGUAUUGAGGGCUAGGUAACCCCAAUUGAAGACAUCAGCUGAAUCAAGCAAUAAAGAGAAAAAAUAGGUCUACCUUAUAGGGUUGUGUUGAUAUUAAUAAGAUCACACAUUAAUAAGAAAAAAUAGGUCUACUUUAUAGAGUUGUGUUGAUAUUAAUAAGAAAUGUACCUAGCCCAAUGUCUGGCAUAUAACUCCUCAUCAAAUGUGAAUGACAACAACGAUGAUAAUGGUACCAUGAUUAUGAGAGCACUGAGGAAUUGAGUCAGUGAUGGUUGUGGUGUGGGAGGUGAUAUGAUCAAUAUAUUUGAAAGAUUGACUUAGUUCCUUUUAAUAGGGCAACAUGCUCAGGGAAGAGAAUGGAAAACAGAUCAAUUAGGAGGCUACUACAGUAGUCCAGAUGUAAGGUUAUAAAGAGUGAAUGAAAUGGACAGAUAUUAAAAACAUUUCAAAGAAGAAAUGACUAGUCUUUUUAACUGACUUAAUAUGAUGAAAGAAAAAAUUUAAAGAGGAGAGGACGAAGAGGCACAGCAAAUUAUGAUAUUGCUUAGUCCACUUUGUAAAAUGCCCAAGUCAAGUCUUAAUGGUAAUUAAUACUUACAUUAUUUAGGGAUUACCUAGCAGUAGAACAUGAGCCAAAUCUGGCUCUCAGUGUCAUCUGAUUUAUAAUUCUGUAAACUCAUUGUGAAGUGGAUGAGUAUAACAUAUGUUUCAGAACCUAAAUAAACAAACCUUAAAUCAUUGCUUUAAA
This is a long non-coding RNA of Myotis myotis, 1282 nucleotides long. RefSeq lists it as uncharacterized. The record is from RefSeq and is a predicted model, not a curated record. The transcript is spliced from 2 exons. NCBI's taxonomy places the organism in Eukaryota, Metazoa, Chordata, Mammalia, Chiroptera, Vespertilionidae.